UGAGGAAUAUUGGGUCAAUGGACGAGAGUCUGAACCAGCCAAGUAGCGUGCAGGAUGACGGCCCUAUGGGUUGUAAACUGCUUUUAUAAGGGAAUAAAGUUAGAGUCGUGACUCUUUUUGCAUGUACCUUAUGAAUAAGGACCGGCUAAUUCCGUGCCAGCAGCCGCGGUAAUACGGAAGGUCCGGGCGUUAUCCGGAUUUAUUGGGUUUAAAGGGAGCGUAGGCCGGAGAUUAAGCGUGUUGUGAAAUGUAGAUGCUCAACAUCUGCACUGCAGCGCGAACUGGUUUCCUUGAGUACGCACAAAGUGGGCGGAAUUCGUGGUGUAGCGGUGAAAUGCUUAGAUAUGGCGAAGAACUCCGAUUGC
This 365-nucleotide ribosomal RNA is filed under the name uncultured Prevotella sp. Its description in RNAcentral is "bacterial SSU rRNA". It matches the Rfam family "Bacterial small subunit ribosomal RNA", at positions 355 to 716 of the family's 1533-position model. Lineage: Bacteria; Pseudomonadati; Bacteroidota; Bacteroidia; Bacteroidales; Prevotellaceae. The record is from RNAcentral.